CUACGGGGUGCUCCAGUGGGGAAUAUUGGGCAAUGGGCGCAAGCCUGACCCAGCAACGCCGCGUGAGGGAAGAAGGUUUUCGGAUUGUAAACCUCUGUCCUUGGGGACGAAGAAGUGACGGUACCCAAGGAGGAAGCUCCGGCUAACUACGUGCCAGCAGCCGCGGGUAAUACGUAGGGAGCAAGCGUUGUCCGGAAUUACUGGGCGUAAAGGGUGCGUAGGCGGCAUAUUAAGUCAGGUGUGAAAUACUCGGGCUCAACCCGGGGGCUGCAUUUGAAACUGAUAUGCUUGAGUGUGAGAGGGGAAAGUGGAAUUCCUAGUGUAGCGGUGGUAUGCGUAGAUAUUAGGAGGAACACCAGUGGCGAAGGCGACUUUCUGGCUCAUAACUGACGCUGAGGCACGAAAGCGUGGGGAGCAAACAGGAUUAGAUACCCGCGUAGUC
This 442-nucleotide ribosomal RNA is filed under the name uncultured bacterium. Its description in RNAcentral is "partial 16S ribosomal RNA". It matches the Rfam family "Bacterial small subunit ribosomal RNA", at positions 339 to 795 of the family's 1533-position model. The record is from RNAcentral.